GGCAGGUUGUAGAAGGAGCUGCACCUCCGGGCUGCGAGACCGGCGCGUGCCUGGGUUUGGCUUGGGCCAGAGGGCCUGAGGCUGGGAGCCC
This is a long non-coding RNA of Myotis brandtii (Brandt's bat), 91 nucleotides long. RefSeq lists it as uncharacterized. Lineage: Eukaryota; Metazoa; Chordata; Mammalia; Chiroptera; Vespertilionidae. The transcript is spliced from 3 exons. The record is from RefSeq and is a predicted model, not a curated record.